This 577-nucleotide long non-coding RNA is filed under the name Aedes aegypti (yellow fever mosquito). Its description in RNAcentral is "lncRNA AAEL020444". Lineage: Eukaryota; Metazoa; Arthropoda; Insecta; Diptera; Culicidae. The record is from RNAcentral.
UCGGUAUUACAAACGAGAUUUACCGAACAUCCUUGAAUAUAUUAGAAAAUCAAAACAAUAUUCGUCCACUUUUACCGGAAUCGUCGUUUUAUUUACCGAAAAAACUGUAAAUCGUUUAGAUUCACCGUAGACUGUAAUUUUUUAUCGUACUUCAGUUCAUAGUGCCACAACGCUUUACCGAACAAAUUGUGAUUUGAUAUUUUUGAGGCUGCCAUAUUUGUUUUGAUGUGCUAGUCAACAUGAUAGUAUCGCAUCCAAUACCAUUUGAUAUUCUGUGUUGUGGUCAUGGACACUGUUUUUUGAAAAAAGUAAAACUACAACAGCAGGAUGAGCGCCUGGAACUACUUUUCCCAUUCAACAGCCCACUUACGGUUCCGGAUAAAAUCGUCACAUUAACGGGCAUAAGCACCCAUGACGGAAUCGGUGGCGCUUUUGUGCAAAAGCACGCGUUCGAGUUGUUGGUGAUGCCGCUGGUGGUUUCCCAUCUUCAUAAGCAGACAAGCAGUUCAUCUUCAUACGGAUUUAAAACGAAAACGCGAAAUAAAUCGAUGCACAUUUGCUAUCAAUAUGAAAUUUA